UGGGAAGGUGGGGCCCCACUGGGUUGUGU
This 29-nucleotide small RNA is filed under the name Bombyx mori (domestic silkworm). Its description in RNAcentral is "ovarian small RNA-624". The record is from RNAcentral. Lineage: Eukaryota; Metazoa; Arthropoda; Insecta; Lepidoptera; Bombycidae.